Molecule: ribosomal RNA, 294 nt
Filed under: Bacillus subtilis subsp. subtilis
Lineage: Bacteria; Bacillati; Bacillota; Bacilli; Caryophanales; Bacillaceae
Description: partial 23S ribosomal RNA
Rfam family: Bacterial large subunit ribosomal RNA
Source: RNAcentral
UAGCGGCGAGCGAAACGGGAAGAGCCCAAACCAACAAGCUUGCUUGUUGGGGUUGUAGGACACUCUAUACGGAGUUACAAAGGACGACAUUAGACGAAUCAUCUGGAAAGAUGAAUCAAAGAAGGUAAUAAUCCUGUAGUCGAAAAUGUUGUCUCUCUUGAGUGGAUCCUGAGUACGACGGAGCACGUGAAAUUCCGUCGGAAUCUGGGAGGACCAUCUCCUAAGGCUAAAUACUCUCUAGUGACCGAUAGUGAACCAGUACCGUGAGGGAAAGGUGAAAAGCACCCCGGAAGG